GCCCAAUGGUUAAAUAUUUUUAUGAAAUUAAAUAAAAAAAAACUAAAUGGCUGCAGUAACUAUGACUGUAUGAAUGUAGCAUAAUCAUUCGCCACUUAAUUAGUGGAUAGUAUGAAUGGUUAAACGAAAAUUUCUCUGUCUUAUAUAAUAAACAAAAAAUUUAAAUUAUAGUUAAGAUGCUAUAUAAAAUUGUAAGACGAAAAGACCCUAUAAAGCUUAACUAUAAUCUUUUACAAUUUAUUUAAAAAAAAAAUAAGAAAAAAAGAUUGGUAGUUUCAUUGGGGCGAUGAUCUCUAAAAAAAAACAGAGAUAAACUAUAUUUAUAAUAAAAAAAAUUUACUGUUUAAUCUAUAAAUUUAACAGUUACAAAGUAGGUUAUAAUGACCCAUUAUUUACCCAAAAAAAGAAAUAAUGAUCAAAAAAUAAAAGCUACUUUAGGGAUAACAGGAUAAUUUUUUCCAAGAGAUCUUAUCGAAGAAAAAGUUUAUCACCUCGAUGUUGAAUUAAGAUACCCCA
RNAcentral lists this ribosomal RNA (516 nucleotides) under Macrorhynchia furcata. RNAcentral describes it as "partial 16S ribosomal RNA". It matches the Rfam family "Bacterial large subunit ribosomal RNA", at positions 1861 to 2549 of the family's 2925-position model. Lineage: Eukaryota; Metazoa; Cnidaria; Hydrozoa; Leptothecata; Aglaopheniidae. The record is from RNAcentral.